UAAUACGGAGGGCGCAAACGUUGCUCGGAAUCACUGGGCAUAAAGGGCAUGUAGGCGGCCCGAUCAGUCAGAUGUGAAAUCCCCCGGCUCAACCGGGGAACUGCAUUUGAUACUAUCGAGCUCGAGGAUGGUUGGGGUAAGCGGAACUCCUGGUGGAGCGGUGAAAUGCGUAGAUAUCAGGAGGAACACCAGUGGCGAAAGCGGCUUACUGGACCAUUACUGACGCUGAGAUGCGAAAGCUAGGGUAGCGAACGGGAUUAGAUACCCCGGUAGUCCUAGCCGUAAACGAUGGGCACUAGGUUGGGGGAACACCUAUGGUUUUCCCAGCUGUAGCAAAUGUGUUAAGUGCCCCGCCUGGGGAGUACGCACGCAAGUGUA
Molecule: ribosomal RNA, 378 nt
Filed under: uncultured Planctomycetota bacterium
Lineage: Bacteria; Pseudomonadati; Planctomycetota
Description: bacterial SSU rRNA
Rfam family: Bacterial small subunit ribosomal RNA
Source: RNAcentral